CGGAGGAUCCAAGCGUUAUCCGGAUUUAUUGGGUUUAAAGGGUGCGUAGGCGGGACAGUAAGUCAGUGGUGAAAUCCUAUCGCUUAACGAUAGAAUUGCCAUUGAUACUGCUGACCUUGAGUACAAAUGAUGUGGGCGGAAUGUGCAGUGUAGCGGUGAAAUGCUUAGAUAUUGCACAGAACACCGAUAGCGAAGGCAGCUCACAAAAAUGUAACUGACGCUGAGGCACGAAAGUAUGGGGAUCAAACAGGAUUAGAUACCCUGGUAGUCCAUACAGUAAACGUUGAUAACUCGAUGUGUGCGAUAUACAGUACGCGUCCAAGGGAACCGAUAAGUUAUCCACCUGGGGAGUACGACCGCAAGGUUG
Molecule: ribosomal RNA, 367 nt
Filed under: uncultured organism
Description: bacterial SSU rRNA
Rfam family: Bacterial small subunit ribosomal RNA
Source: RNAcentral